AGUGAACGCUGGCGGUAGGCCUAACACAUGCAAGUCGAACGGCAGCACAGUAAGAGCUUGCUCUUACGGGUGGCGAGUGGCGGACGGGUGAGGAAUACAUCGGAAUCUACUUUUUCGUGGGGGAUAACGUAGGGAAACUUACGCUAAUACCGCAUACGACCUACGGGUGAAAGCAGGGGAUCUUCGGACCUUGCGCGAUUGAAUGAGCCGAUGUCGGAUUAGCUAGUUGGCGGGGUAAAGGCCCACCAAGGCGACGAUCCGUAGCUGGUCUGAGAGGAUGAUCAGCCACACUGGAACUGAGACACGGUCCAGACUCCUACGGGAGGCAGCAGUGGGGAAUAUUGGACAAUGGGCGCAAGCCUGAUCCAGCCAUGCCGCGUGGGUGAAGAAGGUCUUCGGGUUGUAAAGCCCUUUUGUUGGGAAAGAAAAGCAGCAGGUUAAUACCCCGCUGUUCUGACGGUACCCAAAGAGUAAGCACCGGCUAACUUCGUG
Molecule: ribosomal RNA, 492 nt
Filed under: uncultured bacterium
Lineage: Bacteria
Description: partial 16S ribosomal RNA
Rfam family: Bacterial small subunit ribosomal RNA
Source: RNAcentral